CAAGUCGAACGGUAGCACAGAGGAGCUUGCUCUUUGGGUGACGAGUGGCGGACGGGUGAGUAAUGUCUGGGAAACUGCCCGAUGGAGGGGGAUAACUACUGGAAACGGUAGCUAAUACCGCAUAACGUCGCAAGACCAAAGAGGGGGACCUUCGGGCCUCUUGCCAUCGGAUGUGCCCAGAUGGGAUUAGCUAGUAGGUGGGGUAACGGCUCACCUAGGCGACGAUCCCUAGCUGGUCUGAGAGGAUGACCAGCCACACUGGAACUGAGACACGGUCCAGACUCCUACGGGAGGCAGCAGUGGGGAAUAUUGCACAAUGGGCGCAAGCCUGAUGCAGCCAUGCCGCGUGUAUGAAGAAGGCCUUCGGGUUGUAAAGUACUUUCAGCGAGGAGGAAGGCGUUGUGGUUAAUAACCGCAACGAUUGACGUUACUCGCAGAAGAAGCACCGGCUAACUCCGUGCCAGCAGCCGCGGUAAUACGGAGGGUUGCAAGCGUUAAUCGGAAUUACUGGGCGUAAAGCGCACGCAGGCGGUCUGUCAAGUCGGAUGUGAAAUCCCCGGGCUCAACCUGGGAACUGCAUCCGAAACUGGCAGGCUAGAGUCUUGUAGAGGGGGGUAGAUUCCAGGUGUAGCGGUGAAAUGCGUAGAGAUCUGGAGGA
Molecule: ribosomal RNA, 658 nt
Filed under: uncultured Pseudomonadota bacterium
Lineage: Bacteria; Pseudomonadati; Pseudomonadota
Description: bacterial SSU rRNA
Rfam family: Bacterial small subunit ribosomal RNA
Source: RNAcentral